This 189-nucleotide non-coding RNA is filed under the name Lysinibacillus macroides. The record is from RNAcentral. Lineage: Bacteria; Bacillati; Bacillota; Bacilli; Caryophanales; Bacillaceae.
AUAAUCAUAAAACAUAUUGGUGCAAAUAGCAUUUGUUAUUUGCUUAAAAGGGAAAUCGGUGCAAUUCCGAUGCUGUCCCGCAACUGUAAAUGGGGAGUCUAUACAAUAUGCCACUGUAGCGUCAUGCUACGGGAAGGCGUAUAGAUGAUGAACCUAAGCCAGGAGACCUGCCAGUAUAGAUGGAUGAAC